RNAcentral lists this ribosomal RNA (301 nucleotides) under uncultured bacterium. RNAcentral's name for it is "partial 16S ribosomal RNA". It matches the Rfam family "Bacterial small subunit ribosomal RNA", at positions 510 to 808 of the family's 1533-position model. The record is from RNAcentral.
CACAGCCGCGGUAAUACAGAGGAUGCAAGCGUUAUCCGGAAUGAUUGGGCGUAAAGCGUCUGUAGGUGGCUUUUCAAGUCCGCCGUCAAAUCCCAGGGCUCAACCCUGGACAGGCGGUGGAAACUACCAAGCUGGAGUACGGUAGGGGCAGAGGGAAUUUCCGGUGGAGCGGUGAAAUGCGUAGAGAUCUGGAGGAAUACCGGUGGCGAAGGCGGCCCCCUGGACAAAGACUGACGCUCAGGUGCGAAAGCGUGGGGAGCAAACAGGAUUAGAUACCCGCGUAGUCCCUGUCUCUUAUACA